AUAAGACGAGCGAAAAGCUUCU
RNAcentral lists this microRNA (22 nucleotides) under Alligator mississippiensis (American alligator). RNAcentral describes it as "ami-miR-208-3p". Its record names the gene ami-miR-208-3p. Lineage: Eukaryota; Metazoa; Chordata; Crocodylia; Alligatoridae. The record is from miRBase by way of RNAcentral.